This 115-nucleotide small RNA is filed under the name Salmonella enterica. RNAcentral describes it as "partial RtT sRNA". It matches the Rfam family "RtT RNA". Rfam says of the family: This family represents a bacterial cis-regulatory element known as RtT RNA. The exact function of RtT is unknown although it is thought that it may be involved in changing the cellular response in relation to amino acid starvation. Lineage: Bacteria; Pseudomonadati; Pseudomonadota; Gammaproteobacteria; Enterobacterales; Enterobacteriaceae. The record is from RNAcentral.
GAUAUGGAAGAUUCGAACCUGCCGCAGGUUCGGGUCGAACGCAGUGAGACAACGGAGCCGUUUACGGCGACGGCCCGUAGGGCGAGCGAAGCGAGUCAUCCUGCACGACCCACCA